Molecule: ribosomal RNA, 1093 nt
Filed under: Rhodococcus sp. (in: high G+C Gram-positive bacteria)
Lineage: Bacteria; Bacillati; Actinomycetota; Actinomycetes; Mycobacteriales; Nocardiaceae
Description: bacterial SSU rRNA
Rfam family: Bacterial small subunit ribosomal RNA
Source: RNAcentral
GGGGGGGGGGGCGGGGGGGGUGCUUACACAUGCAAGUCGAGCGGUAAGGCCUUUCGGGGUACACGAGCGGCGAACGGGUGAGUAACACGUGGGUGAUCUGCCCUGCACUUCGGGAUAAGCCUGGGAAACUGGGUCUAAUACCGGAUAUGACCUCCUAUCGCAUGGUGGGUGGUGGAAAGAUUUAUCGGUGCAGGAUGGGCCCGCGGCCUAUCAGCUUGUUGGUGGGGUAAUGGCCUACCAAGGCGACGACGGGUAGCCGACCUGAGAGGGUGACCGGCCACACUGGGACUGAGACACGGCCCAGACUCCUACGGGAGGCAGCAGUGGGGAAUAUUGCACAAUGGGCGAAAGCCUGAUGCAGCGACGCCGCGUGAGGGACGACGGCCUUCGGGUUGUAAACCUCUUUCAGCAGGGACGAAGCGCAAGUGACGGUACCUGCAGAAGAAGCACCGGCUAACUACGUGCCAGCAGCCGCGGUAAUACGUAGGGUGCAAGCGUUGUCCGGAAUUACUGGGCGUAAAGAGUUCGUAGGCGGUUUGUCACGUCGUUUGUGAAAACUCACAGCUCAACUGUGAGCCUGCAGGCGAUACGGGCAGACUUGAGUACUGCGAGGGAGACUGGAAUUCCUGGUGUAGCGGUGAAAUGCGCAGAUAUCAGGAGGAACACCGGUGGCGAAGGCGGGUCUCUGGGCAGUAACUGACGCUGAGGAACGAAAAGCGUGGGUAGCGAACAGGAUUAGAUACCCUGGUAGUCCACGCCGUAAACGGUGGGCGCUAAGUGUGGGUUCCUUCCACGGAAUCCGUGCCGUAGCUAACGCAUUAAGCGCCCCGCCUGGGGAGUACGGCCGCAAGGCUAAAACUCACAGGAAUUGGACAGGAGGCCCGCACAAGCAGCGGAGCAUGAGGAUUAAAUGCGAUGCAACGCUGAGAUCCUUACCUGGGUGUGACAUAUACCCGGAAGCCGUAGCAGAUACGGCCCCCAUUGUGGUCGGUAUACAGGUGGAUGCAUGGCUGUCGUCAGCUCGUGUCAUGAGAUGUGGGUUAGGUCCCGCAACGAAGCGCAACCCCUAUCUUAUAGUGGCCAGCACGUAAUG